GAUGAACGCUGGCGGCGUGCCUAACACAUGCAAGUCGAGCGAGUGGAGUUCUUUGGAACAAAGCUAGCGGCGGACGGGUGAGUAACACGUGGGCAACCUGCCUCAUAGAGGGGAAUAGCCUCCCGAAAGGGAGAUUAAUACCGCAUAAGAUUGUAGCUUCGCAUGAAGUAGCAAUUAAAGGAGCAAUCCGCUAUGAGAUGGACCCGCGGCGCAUUAGCUAGUUGGUGGGGUAACGGCUUACCAAGGCGACGAUCAGUAGCCGGCCUGAGAGGGUGAACGGCCACAUUGGGACUGAGACACGGCCCAA
Molecule: ribosomal RNA, 307 nt
Filed under: uncultured bacterium
Lineage: Bacteria
Description: bacterial SSU rRNA
Rfam family: Bacterial small subunit ribosomal RNA
Source: RNAcentral